This 3725-nucleotide unclassified non-coding RNA is filed under the name Leishmania donovani. Its description in RNAcentral is "gene:LdHU3.22.1570(CDS-product:translation_initia tion_factor_IF-2_putative)". Lineage: Eukaryota; Euglenozoa; Kinetoplastea; Trypanosomatida; Trypanosomatidae. The record is from RNAcentral.
CCGCACAAGCACACACGCACAUCAAACAACGAAACGUAAAGCGAAUAAGAGAAGCCAGAAAACAAAGGCGGUAUAAGCAGCAGCAGCACGCGCGUGCCUCCCCCUUCCCUCCGCCCUCUGUGUGUCUGUCUUUCUCUGUACCUACUCGACAGCUCAGGUGCUUCGUCCAUACACUGCCUUCCGGCUUCGCCGUUUGUGUGUGUGUGAGCCCCUCCCUUCCUCCCUCCCUCUCCGCUCUCUCCGUGUGUGUGUGUGUGUGCGACUGCCCGCUGUGUAGAGGCGCUUCAUCGCGUUCUCCACGGCCGUGCGUCGUGGGGAGGAGGGGUAUCAUCGGCUGUUUCGUUUCUUGUGGUUUCCGCGCCUCCGACCCUCGUUCACAUACACAGCCACACCUCGCCUUUUUUUCACAGAGCACAUCUCCGUUGACGACCACGUAGGGUCCUUCACCCACCCAUCACACACACACACACACACACACACACAUUCAUCACAGAGAGAGACGGGAAGUGACCUCGACGCUGCUGCGUAGUUCAAACUGCCGGCGCCGUCUGGCACCCGCCCUCUCUCCAAAUCUCCUUCCACCGGUCGCGUCAGAAUGUGGCGUAGCUCCUCCCUUUACCAUCAGUUCACGAGCAGGGUGGUCACCGUGUAUCACCUACCGGCCGCCGUUGCGGCCGUUGAGGACAACACUGCUGGGCGACUGGCGCGCUCUCGGCUGAUCUCGGUCGCACCAUCAGGGCUGCCUUCAUUCGCGGAGUACCGCCUUUCGUGCCACAGCGGCGGUGGUAGCCGCAGUAGCAGCAUGGCGUCGGCAGCAAUGGUGGCGUCUGCGCUGCGCACGGCUCGCCGCUACCAGUCGCAGAGCAGCCGCGUGCGACCAUCGCUGCAGUGGCAGGACGGCCAGGUGGACCCGCGCUUCUCGUCGGAGGGUAACAUGCGUCGGCUGAACCCAGAGACGAUGCCGCACUUUGUAAAGGCGACCAUCCAGAAGGAUCGACGCGAGAUGGGGCUGGGCGAGGUGUUCGACUGGGUGGACUUCGCGAAAGACGCCAUCUACAUCCCGACCCGGUCUGGCCCGCUCUGGGUCGGCAGCGACGACCCGCGCGCGUCGAAGUUUGUGCGGCGGCGGGAGAAGAUGAAGCGGCAGCCGCUGCAGCGGACGCGGCAGAAGCCAGGGACGGACCAAGCCAAGGCGCUCGAGGACCAUCCCCUCCGCGAGUACUUCACGACACCGUCCAACCUGCACGACCCAAUGAGCGUCGCAACGGGCCUGCACCGUGCCGGGAUGAUCCGCGAAUAUGACAUCAAGCACACAGCGUCGAAGAUCGAAUACUUGCCACGGCCGCCGAUCGUGUCUAUAAUGGGCCAUGUCGACCAUGGCAAGACGACGCUGCUGGAUCACCUGCGCCACACGAACGUGGCGGCGGGAGAGGCGGGCGGCAUCACACAGAAUGUUGGCGCCUUUCAGGUGAAGACGCCAGACGGGCACAUCAUCACCUUCAUCGACACACCCGGCCACGCCGCCUUCACGGCGAUGCGAGAGGUCGGCGCCACGACAAACGACUUGAUCGUCCUCAUCGUCUCCGCCGUGGACGGGGUGCAGCCGCAGACACGCGAGGUCAUCGAGCUGGCGCAGCGCAAAGGCACGCCGAUGGUGGUCGCCGUUACAAAGAUCGACCGGCAGCCCGACUGCGACUACGUGAAGGACCAGCUGGUCGCAAAUGGCGUGGAGCUGGAGGAGAAGGGCGGCGACGUGCAGCUCGUCAAGAUCUGCGCCAAAGAUGGCCGCGGCAUCCCUGAGCUGCUCGAGGCACUGCAUCUGCAGGCGGAACUGUGCGAGGUGGCGACGCCCACCCCGUCUCGCGCCGAGCUGUACGUUCUGGAGUCGCGCAACUUGGGCGUCAGCGAGGUGGCGGCGGUUGUGCGCUGCGGCACGGUGAAGCCCGGGCAGGUCUUUGUCACAGGCACCGUCUACGGUACGGUGAAGCGGAUCCUGGACGACCACGGCGCCACGCUCGACGAGGCGAGGCCGUCGAUACCGGUCGUGCUGCACGGCUUUCGUGUGCCGCCGAAGCCAGGGUCGGUGAUGAUGCAGGUGAGCAGCGAGAAGCACGCCGAAAAGUUCAGCUACUUCAUGCGUGAAGUGUACACCGUCGAGGGCAACCGUGAGAACUACUUGCAGAUUCUCAACCAAGAACGACAGGGUCUCAUUCACGGCCGGAAGCCGGACAACAAUAUAGUGCGCGCAUACAGCACCCAGGCGUUCAUCCUCUCCUGUAAGGCCGCCACGUUCGGAAUGCUGCAGGCGUUGCUAAAGACCAUCUACGAGUUGCCGCGACUCGAGGGUGUCUCUCUGGACAUCCGCAUCACCGAGGUUGGUGGGCUGAAGGACUCGGACCUGAUCCUGACGGGAUCGUCCGGCCAGCCCGGCUGCGUCCUGCUCUUCGGCGACUGCAAGGACUCCUUCUCUCUAGACGUACCAGUCAACGUGCGGGUGUUGCGGUUCAACGUGUUGUACCACGGCAUCGAUGAGCUGAAGCAGGUGCUCGUCGACUCCCUGCCAAAGGUGAAGAAGACGCGCAUCAUGGCGACAGCGGAGUGCCUGCAGACCUUCAAGGCCUCCCAGGCAGGUCGAACCGGUAAUGCCGGUGGCAUGAGGGUCACAAGGGGCACGCUCGACGCGGCCCACCUUACCUUUCGCGUGUUGCGGCGACCGCAGGACUUGAAGGCAAGGCUGGCAGCGGCAGCGAGCGGCACCAAGAUGAGCCCGUCCGGCGGCGACGCCGCAGCCGCGGCUGACGACGGGGCGCGGGAGGUUGUGUACGAGGGCCAGCUGAAGGAGCUGCGCCGCUUCAAAGAACUUGUACCGACCGUAGAGACGGGCCUGGAGUGUGGCGUCGUGUUGCACGACGACUUCAGCUUCCGCGUCGGGGACGUGCUGGAGCAGGUUGAGGAGUACGAGGAGAGCCGCGACGUCGACGAGGAGUACGAGGCAGCGGAGAGGCGCGAGAAGAUUCUGCGCGAGACGGCCGAGAUGCAGGCGCGCAUGGAGGAGGCGGAGCGGAAGGCCGUCGUGGAGGCAGUGGGCAGCACAGAGCUGCAUGAGAAGCUAAAGGCCGUGACCAAUUAGAGCUGCACGUGGGCUCGGGAUGGGGUGGGAGAGGAAGGCUGAUGUGAGCAGCCAAGGGGUCGACGACGACGAAGGGCAUCUCAUGAGCGAGCGAGGUGCACACAUGCCUGUUUCGCUUCCAUCCCUUUCGUGCACGCAGUUGUGGUGGCGUUGACUUCUCGUUCAGCGAAGGCGCGCGCGGUGGCGUGGAUGGUCGGUUGCGCGCUUUCACCAUCGCAGCCAGCCCCCGCUGGUUUCGUCUCCCUCCCGUCUCGCUCUUGUGCUGACAUACACGAAGACGCAGUCCACAUGUCCAUGCGGAUCUUCUUGUCCUUCCUUGGUGCUUCUCCCCCUUGAAUGCGCGCGGGUGGGUGCUUGUGCGGGUGCGCCCCACCGCUGUGCCGUCGUGCGCGCGCUGUCGCGCCGCCUUCUCGUCGUCACUCUCGCUCUCUCCCCCCUUAAUCUCUUACAGAUCGCUUCGAGUGCUUUCACGUUCUCUCAUGGGCGUUUGUGUGUGCUGGCGGGUGCGUGCGGUCCUUCUCUCGCCACUCGACUGCGUUUCCCGACACUCCUCGGUGUCCUUGCUGAGAUGCUAAACACUUACAGAUUCAAGCUC